RNAcentral lists this ribosomal RNA (898 nucleotides) under uncultured archaeon. Its description in RNAcentral is "SSU rRNA". It matches the Rfam family "Archaeal small subunit ribosomal RNA", at positions 455 to 1354 of the family's 1478-position model. The record is from RNAcentral.
GUGCCAGCCGCCGCGGUAAUACCAGCUCCGCGAGUGGUCGGGGUGCUUACUGGGCCUAAAGCGCCCGUAGCCGGCCCGGUAAGUCGUCCCUGAAAUCCACGGGCUCAACCCGUGGGCUGGGGACGAUACUGCCGGGCUUGGGGGCGGGAGAGGCCGAGGGUACUCCCGGGGUAGGGGCGAAAUCCGAUAAUCCCGGGAGGACCACCAGUGGCGAAGGCGCUCGGCUGGAACGCGCCCGACGGUGAGGGGCGAAAGCUGGGGGAGCAAAGGGGAUUAGAUACCCCUGUAGUCCCAGCUGUAAACGAUGCGGGCUAGCUGUUGGGCGGGCUUAGAGCCCGCCCAGUGGCGGAGGGAAGCCGUUAAGCCCGCCGCCUGGGGAGUACGGCCGCAAGGCUGAAACUUAAAGGAAUUGGCGGGGGGGCACCACAAGGGGUGAAGCUUGCGGCUUAAUUGGAGUCAACGCCGGAAACCUUACCCGGGGCGACAGCAGGAUGAUGGCCAGGCUAACGACCUUGCCGGACGAGCUGAGAGGAGGUGCAUGGCCGUCGUCAGCUCGUGCCGUGAGGUGUCCGGUUAAGUCCGGCAACGAGCGAGACCCCCACCCCUAGUUGCUACCCGAUCCUUCGGGAUCGGGGGCACACUAGGGGGACUGCCGGCGUAAGCCGGAGGAAGGAGGGGGCCACGGCAGGUCAGUAUGCCCCGAAACCCCGGGGCUGCACGCGAGCUGCAAUGGCGGGGACAGCGGGAUCCGACCCCGAAAGGGGAAGGUAAUCCCGUAAACCCCGCCCCAGUAGGGAUCGAGGGCUGUAACUCGCCCUCGUGAACGUGGAAUCCCUAGUAACCGCGUGUCACCAACGCGCGGUGAAUACGUCCCUGCCCCUUGCACACACCGCCCGUC